UACGAGGGGGCUGUACUGUGGAUGUUAUCUUGAGUAAGCAAAAAGACUACCUUCCUUGCCGGACCCUAGACACAGAUUUGCAAAAGUCACUGGCACAAAAAAAUUUAAAUUCCUACACUGAGAGAAGGGGCUUUAGCCACCCAGUCACACAUCCCCCACAUCUCCCACAUCCCCCACACACUCCCCCCUUUCUUUCUACGCCGGUGAUUUGUAAUGACUAGCCUAGUUUUCUGAAGAGCAUCUCUUAUAAUAUUCAUUACUGUUGACUUAUGUGAUCAUGAUUUUAUAGCCAAACAUCACAGGCAUGAUCCUCACAGGCUCAACAAACUUCGAAACAGAACUGAUUGAGCAAAUCAGACAUGUUUGAUCCAGCAAGUGAUUAGAUUAAGUGCAGUGUAGAGUGUUGAAGCUGGUUGAUGUACUUUGCUUAUGGUGGAAAGAUUCGAUCAGAUGAUCGAAUUGGCGGCUGAAGUGCUGCAGAAGAUGUUUAUUCAAGAGAAGAAGCUGAUUGGAAGAUACUUUGAUGAGAUUCUCGAAAUACAGGAAAGUACUGCUUUGGUGUUGUUGACGCUCUCAAGGCAUUGGAAAUGAGCUCUGUUGAAACACUUAUUGUAUGGGAGGGUUUAGAGACGACAAGAUUUGUGAUGAGAAAUCAUCAGUCAGAUGAAGAGAAAGUGAUGUAUCUCGAUCCUGAACAGGCCUGCUAAGUGAAGCAAAGCAAAGAUGCUAAUCACGUGUGGUGUAGUUGCCACAUUAUGUGAGUCACGUGAACAUCAAUUGUCCACGCAUGCGUGUUGCCAAUGGACAGAAAUGCAAUUAUUUUGUUGUAAGUCAUUGCUCAUGACUAUUAUCUAUUAUUGUUAAUAAUAAAUAAAUAUAAACAAUUGAA
Molecule: long non-coding RNA, 889 nt
Organism: Corticium candelabrum
Lineage: Eukaryota; Metazoa; Porifera; Homoscleromorpha; Homosclerophorida; Plakinidae
Exons: 5
Source: RefSeq, a predicted model, not a curated record